CAGCCGCCGCGGGAACACGUAGGUGGCAAGCGUUGUCCGGAAUUAUUGGGCGUAAAGGGCUCGCAGGCGGUUCCUUAAGUCUGAUGUGAAAGCCCCCGGCUCAACCGGGGAGGGUCAUUGGAAACUGGGAAACUUGAGUGCAGAAGAGGAGAGUGGAAUUCCACGUGUAGCGGUGAAAUGCGUAGAGAUGUGGAGGAACACCAGUGGCGAAGGCGACUCUCUGGUCUGUAACUGACGCUGAGGAGCGAAAGCGUGGGGAGCGAACAGGAUUAGAUACCCCCGUAGUCCCUGUCUCUUAUAC
This 301-nucleotide ribosomal RNA is filed under the name uncultured bacterium. RNAcentral describes it as "partial 16S ribosomal RNA". It matches the Rfam family "Bacterial small subunit ribosomal RNA", at positions 509 to 807 of the family's 1533-position model. The record is from RNAcentral.